GCUGCAUCCAUGGCGAAGAAGGUCGUGUGCGAAGGUUUCCAGGCGAUGUUCGGCCUCUCGGUGGCAGUGUCCUGGCUCACCCCGAGGGCCCAGGACGAACUGCAGAGGCUGACGGGAGCCGCUCUUCCGUGCCCCUCCCAGAUCCCCGAGCCCCGGGCCGCCCAGGCUGAGCUCCCGCCCUCGGAUCGGCGGCCUCGGACCAGCAAGCCCAGAGCUGGGCAUGGCAGCUCGCCGGCACCCCCGUCGGGCUCUGCGAGACAGAGGCUGAGCUGUUUCAUCAAGUUAAGUGGGGGUUUUCAACAUGUGUAGUCCCACACUGUUCGAUAAAAUGCUUCCUCCUUCCCCUUGUUGAUUUUUAACUUAUAUUUCUUGGUUAUAUUGUCUAUCUGUACAUAGUAGUUACUAUUUCAGUCACAAUAAUAAAGUUUCUUUUUCACAAAGGAGGCUCUUUGUCGUUUACAAUUUAUUUGUGUGUUAACAAUGUAUAACAAAUCCAUCCAUCUUCUAAAUGCUUCUGAUUCCGGGUCACAGGGGAGCUAGAUCCUAUCCAUUAAGGCAGGAUACACCCUGGGCAGGACACCAGUCAAUCGCAGAGCACACACUGACACAGAUACUCGCACAAGGGUCAGUUUUUCCAGAAUCUAACUUCCCUAUCUUUGGAAGACGGGAGGAAACGAGAGCACCUGGAGGACAUCCAUGGAGACACAGGGAGAAUAUACAAACUCCACACAGAAAGCACAGCAAGUCUGGAUUUGAA
RNAcentral lists this long non-coding RNA (757 nucleotides) under Lepisosteus oculatus (spotted gar). RNAcentral's name for it is "lncRNA (ENSLOCG00000021960.1)". The record is from RNAcentral. Lineage: Eukaryota; Metazoa; Chordata; Actinopteri; Semionotiformes; Lepisosteidae.